Long non-coding RNA from Girardinichthys multiradiatus, 4937 nucleotides. RefSeq lists it as uncharacterized. NCBI's taxonomy places the organism in Eukaryota, Metazoa, Chordata, Actinopteri, Cyprinodontiformes, Goodeidae. The transcript is spliced from 5 exons. The record is from RefSeq and is a predicted model, not a curated record.
AGAAGAGACAAAGAGAGAGUCUUCAAACCGGAACCCCUUCGGCACUUGGCUGGGCCUAGAAAUCCUGUCCAUAAUAGUUAUGAAUAGGAUCGGUGACAAAGGGCAGGAGUCAAACAUGCACCGAGAACAGGUCCAACUUAGUGCCGGCAAGGCGGACCAAACUCUUGCUCCGCUUGUACAGAGACCAGAUGGCCCCUAAUAAAGGGCCCCGCACUCCGUACUCCUGGAGCAUCCCCCACAGGGCACCACGAGGGACACAGUUGAAUGCCUUCUCCAGCUCCACAAAAUACAUGUGGUCUGAUUGGGCAAAUUCCCAUGGACGAAAACCACACUGCUCCUCCUGAAGCCGAGGUUUGACUAUUGACAAGACUUUCCUCUCCAAUACCCUGCCAUAGACCUAACCAGGGAGGCUGAGGAGUGUGAUCCACCUAUAGUUGGAACACACCCUCCGGUCACCCUUCUUGUGAAGGUGGACCACCCCAGUCUGACAGUCCAGAGGCAAUGUCCCCGACCACCACGCAAUGUUAAAGAGGCGUGUCAACCAUAAGGGCCCACAUCCAGAGACGUGAGGUACUCAGGGCGGAUCUCACCCAAAGCCUGGGUGAUGAAAGAGUCCAACCACGAGUCCCCAGUCUCUGCUUCCACCAGGGAAGGCGUGACAGCAGGAUUGAGGAGAUCCUCUAAGUACUCCUUCCACCGCCCGAUAAUAUCCCCAGUCGAGGUCAUUAGCUCCCCACCCCCACUGUAAACAGUGUUGGUGAAGCACUGCUUCCCCCUCAUGAUAUGCUGCAUGGUUUGUCAGAAUCGCUUCAAGGCCAACUAGUAGUCUUUCUCCAUGGCCUCACAGAACUCCUCCCAGGCCCGAGUUUUUGCCUCUGCCACAGCCCGAGCCGUGGCCCGCUUGGCCUCACGGUACCUGUCAGCCACCUCAGGAGUCCUACAAGCCAACCACAGCCGAUUGGACUCCUUCUUCAGCUUGACAGCAUCCCUUACUGCCGGUGUCCACCACCGGGUUCGGAGACUGCCGCCACAACAGGCACCACAGAACUUACAGCAACAGCUACGGGUGGCAGCAUCAACAAUAGAGAACAUGGUUCACUCAGACUCUAUGUCUCCAACCGGCCCCAGAAUCUGAUCAAAGCUCUCCCGGAGGUGUGAGUUCAAUACAUCACUGGCCGAGGGCCCUUCUCUUCACCCGAGUGUCCAAGACAUACGGCCGAAGGUCUGAAAAUACGACAACAAAGUCGAUUAUCUACCUCUUGCCUAGGGUGUCCUGUAGCCAAGUGCACUGAUGAACACCCGCUUGAACAUGGUGUUCAAUAUGGACAAUCCGUGAUUAGCACAAUAAUGAAACAGUCCAAUAAUGAAACACUACUUGGAAUCAGAUCAGGGAUGCCAAAUAUAAAUUUUUUUUUUUAUUGAUAUUAAAUAUCUUUGAAUCUAAGUCUGUAAAACACAGGUUUCAAUGGAUGUCUUAACUCUGUUGCCCAACUUUGAUUUGUGACUCCAUCUUGACAAGAAUAUCUAAAGGCUGAUGUUUUGUCUAAAAUAUGGCUAACAGUUAAAACUCUUUAAGAUGAGUUCAUAGUUUACUUUAUAAUUAACUCAUUAUAAAAUGACAGUUAGUUUUAUGAGCAGGGAAUUAUGUGUCACACUCAAAUCUAGAAAGUCAGGCUCUGGGACACCUUAUACUUCUAUUUUUGACUUUCUGCAAUGUGACUGGGGUAAAUGUUUAGUGAGUUCUCCAAUAAGGCCUAUUCUUUUAAUCUUGGCUUCAUAUUUGACAGUAGGUCCUGCAGAAACAAGAACAUGCAUAACCAGCAAAUACUGGAUUUAAGAAGGCAGUAUUUUUUAUGGGCAACAUAAGAUGUUAAAGGGGACAUAUCAUGCAAAAUCCACUUUUUUAGCCUUUCAUUUUGUUGUGUACUUGAAGCCUGUAGGAGUGCAGAAAGGUUGUUGUGGAGUAAUCUUCAUAUUCUGUUCGGGUUAUACUUUUCAACCCAUUAAUUUUUCUCUAUUAUCUAUUAUGUUUUUUGAACUCUUGCAUCAUAGUAUAUGCUGGGAACAGCUAAAUAAGAGCAUGGGCUUCUGGCUGAUCAAUUGUUCGUAUUUGCCAUAUUUAUUUCUCACUGCGAGUUGUAGUCCAAAGUCAAGUAUGCCUAUAGAUACGUUCAGAAUCAGAGUCAGAAUCAGCUUUAUUGUCAAGUUUGUACAUACAAACAAGGAAUUUGCCUCCGGUACACUUUGCUCUUUUGUUCUGUUUUUGCAUUACAGAAUAUACAAAUUUACAAUUUCUUCGGUUCAGUUGUUGGGUGUACAAUUCAUUACACCGUCCCCCAGCAUCAGAAUCUCUUUGAAGUGCCUGGUUAAAUUUUAUAUUUCAUGGAAAUGUACCCACAUCGGUGGGAAAAUUCCUAUUUCCACACUUCAAGGAUGAGGUUCUUCAGCAACCUCCACCAGUAUCAAAGAUUUGCUCAAAUACUUCAUCUGAAUAUGGGGUCAAUUCCUUUGGUCUAUGGAAACGACAAAUACAGCAAAGUGGUAAGCUGCAAAUAAUGCUAAAAUGACGAACUUUAUUUUAGACAUUCAUUUAUUGUGUUUUGAUAUGACAUGCUGGACAUUGUUUUGAUAGCAGUAACAUCCUGCCUUCUGCUUAUGUUAGUGCCAUGCUUUUAACUCCUUGAAGAUAUAACCGCACUGUGUGUUUUGAAUAGUAUUAGAUAAACAGUUUUGCAUUGUUUUUGCAGUUUUGUCUUCUUUUGCGACACUAGAUACUUGUAUUUCUUAUCAAACUACAAACAUGGCUGAACGGGUGAAAGUGGACCGCUCUUUGACCAGGAGGGGGACGGGGUGUGAGUGUGAAGUUCCUCAGUAACAUUUAACGAGACUGCACCUAAGUGUGGGGCCCAAUGUAAAAUUUCUGAAUUUAAAAGGCCUAUAAUACCAGUGCCCCACGUUUUGAAAUGUCUAUCGACAACUACGCCCCCCACCUCCCCGAAAGAAUAAUUUCUGUCAUAUAUUACACUGGCUACAUGCAGAAGUAUAGAUGAUUCUUCUUGUGAGGCGACUUUGGCUCUACCUGAGGAGCGAGGGUCUGUAUAUGGUGACCAAUAGCCAUUGGGAUUCAAUCUUUCACUCGCUAAUCAGAUGACCUGGUCAAUAAGUGAAUAGCCUAUCACCGAGACUGGUCAAUAUUUGGACGGCCAAUCGCAGGGCGAAAUCAAUCUUUGUGUUAGCCAAUCACUGGAACGCUUCAAUCUUUUGGACGGCCAAUCGCUGGGGGGAGCAGAAUCUUAAAUGUCCUGCCUACCUGGUACUGGCAACUUGAUGACCAGAGCUCAUUGUUGGUGUUGUGUCGUCGGUUUGGGUAAGACUUUUGCAUGCAUUGUUGAAUAUUCUGUUAUUUUUAUUAUAUACGAUAUAAUUAGCCUGUUUGUUGCCGCUAAAGUUGUCCGUAGUUGGCUAAAGAAGUCCAGUUGACAAUCUGUCAGGUUCAUAUUAAUGCAAUCUAAAACAAAUGUAAUGCUUUACCAUCUCAACAAAUACAACUUAGCAUGUGUUGCUACCAUGUUCAUCCAAGAGUAAAAAGAAAAUUAUUUAAUUUAUAGAGAAACACCAUAAAAUCUAAAAGGAUAUGUGUUUAUUUUUAUUUUAUUUCAGUGCUGAUAUCAAACCCUGGCUGUUAGUAUGAAUAGGUGUUUUAUAUUGUGUUGCAUACAUGUCUUUGUAAUCCACCCUUUUGAGUACUUGCUGUGAUGAGUUUAUGUAAAUGCAAUAUGAAUAAAAUUGCUUAUCUGUCAUUACAGAAAAUGUCUAAACAAAACUCCAAAAGCCACAAGGCUAUGGAUGAUAACGAGUGGUUCUCUAGACUGAGGUCUUUUGCCUCCACUGGUGUCUGGCCAUCAGAUACAGGUAACCGACCUGCCCCAAGGCAACAGAAGUGGUACACUCUGUAUCAGAAGAUAGAGAAGUGCCCACUACUGCUGAGAGGCCAGCUGACACUUUUCUCCCAGCCACAAGGGUGUUUGUGUGGGUUUCAUCUUCCUAAGGUAAGCCGAAUUUGGGCCUUUUUUUAACUACAGUUGAUGCACUAUGCAUACAGUGUAAAUAUGCAUUUCUUUCUCAUAAUGCAUUCUUGGACUUUUUGUUGUUUAUUUCUGAGCUGCUCUGGCAACAGAGAGCAGCUCAGAGGAAAAGGAUUAGCAGGUAAAACAAGGUCAUAAGGUUUAAACUAACUUCAUCACUAAUAUAAUAAAAAACAAAACAAAAACCUCUUAAUCGGUCACAUCAUUUGCAUGAAAUGGGUACUUAUUGAUUCUUCAUUAUGAAUGAAGUGUGUGAGUGGUUUUUGGUGAUUGGAGGGUCCAUUGGCGCAUGCUUUUGCAACCGUGUUUUGUCACUCCACCUCUAAGGACAACUGUGGCUACAUGCUUACAACCACCACUGAGUGAAUGAAUAAAAUCCCUUCACCCUGGUGAAGCACUUUGGGAUGACUUGUGUCAUGUGAAAAGCACUGUACAGAAGAGAUCCCCUUCCCUGCUUUCCUUAAUUAUAGUAUUAACUUAGUAUUGAGCAGUAGUAUUCUGCUUCCUUUAAAUCACUGAUGAUUUUGGCUAUUAUCUCUCUCUUUCUCAAACGUUUUGGGAAUGCUCCUGUUUAUAUACAUUGUUCUAAAUAUAUGUUCUGCAACAGGUGCCUACAGCCUCAUCUAGACCCACAAGCAGUGCAGCUCAAUCAACUAACAGUCAAAAUAGUUCCAUAAUGCUCCAGACUGCUACUCCAGUCAAAUACCCCACAGGUUACAGCACACCUGGAACUCUGGCAAAAAGGCCAAAACUCACCCUUUCUUCAUUUGAAAGGUCCAGAUUUGGUGGCAGGCAUGUGGAGAAUGCAAAGCCAAAUAUAAAUGUUGCACGAAAAACUCAUACGAAUGCAAC